CAAACGACUCUCGGCAACGGAUAUCUCGGCUCUCGCAUCGAUGAAGAACGUAGCGAAAUGCGAUACUUGGUGUGAAUUGCAGAAUCCCGUGAACCAUCGAGUUUUKGAACGCAAGUUGCGCCCGAAGCCAUUAGGYUGAGGGAACGUCUGCCUGGGCGUCACAC
This 164-nucleotide ribosomal RNA is filed under the name Sambucus racemosa. RNAcentral's name for it is "5.8S ribosomal RNA". It matches the Rfam family "5.8S ribosomal RNA". Rfam says of the family: 5.8S ribosomal RNA (5.8S rRNA) is a component of the large subunit of the eukaryotic ribosome. It is transcribed by RNA polymerase I as part of the 45S precursor that also contains 18S and 28S rRNA. Lineage: Eukaryota; Viridiplantae; Streptophyta; Magnoliopsida; Dipsacales; Adoxaceae. The record is from RNAcentral.